Molecule: ribosomal RNA, 485 nt
Filed under: uncultured bacterium
Lineage: Bacteria
Description: bacterial SSU rRNA
Rfam family: Bacterial small subunit ribosomal RNA
Source: RNAcentral
UCAGGACGAACGCUGGCGGCGCGCCUAACACAUGCAAGUCGAACGGAGAUUACAGGCGGAAGUUUUCGGAUGGAAGCUUGUAAACUUAGUGGCGGACGGGUGAGUAACACGUGAGCAACCUGCCUAUCAGAGGGGGAUAACGAUUGGAAACGAUCGCUAAUACCGCAUGACAUAGCGGAAUCGCAUGGUUCUGCUAUCAAAGAUUUUAUCGCUGAUAGAUGGGCUCGCGUCCGAUUAGAUAGUUGGUGGGGUAACGGCCUACCAAGUCGACGAUCGGUAGCCGGACUGAGAGGUCGAACGGCCACAUUGGGACUGAGACACGGCCCAGACUCCUACGGGAGGCAGCAGUGGGGGAUAUUGCACAAUGGGGGAAACCCUGAUGCAGCGACGCCGCGUGAGGGAAGACGGUCCUCUGGAUUGUAAACCUCUGUCUUCGGGGACGAAACGAGACGGUACCCGAGGAGGAAGCCACGGCUAACUACGUG